RNAcentral lists this ribosomal RNA (468 nucleotides) under uncultured bacterium. RNAcentral's name for it is "partial 16S ribosomal RNA". It matches the Rfam family "Bacterial small subunit ribosomal RNA", at positions 28 to 507 of the family's 1533-position model. The record is from RNAcentral.
GACGAACGCUGGCGGUGUGCUUAACACAUGCAAGUCGAACGGUAAGGCCCUUUCGGGGGUACACGAGUGGCGAACGGGUGAGUAACACGUGAGUAACCUGCCCUCAUCUCUGGGAUAACAGUCGGAAACGGUUGCUAAUACUGGAUAUGAGCUUGCAAGGCAUCUUGUGGGCUGGAAAGAUUUUUUUUGGUUGGGGAUGGACUCGCGGCCUAUCAGCUUGUUGGUGAGGUAGUGGCUCACCAAGGCUUCGACGGGUAGCCGGCCUGAGAGGGCGACCGGCCACAUUGGGACUGAGAUACGGCCCAAACUCCUACGGGAGGCAGCAGUGGGGAAUAUUGCACAAUGGACGGAAGUCUGAUGCAGCAACGCCGCGUGCGGGAUGACGGCCUUCGGGUUGUAAACCGCUUUCAAUUGUGACGAAGCUUUUUUGUGACGGUAGCAGUAGAAGAAGCACCGGCUAACUACGUG